This 102-nucleotide non-coding RNA is filed under the name Priestia megaterium. Its description in RNAcentral is "Bacillus megaterium Guanine sequence". It matches the Rfam family "Purine riboswitch aptamer". From Rfam's summary of the family: Riboswitches are metabolite binding domains within certain messenger RNAs that serve as precision sensors for their corresponding targets. Allosteric rearrangement of mRNA structure is mediated by ligand binding, and this results in modulation of gene expression. The record is from RNAcentral. RNAcentral also lists the same sequence under 1 other name. Lineage: Bacteria; Bacillati; Bacillota; Bacilli; Caryophanales; Bacillaceae.
AAAAGCUAAAUACGGUUCACUCAUAUAUGUUUGAGAAUAUGGCUCAGACGUUUCUACCUUAUCACCGUAAAUGAUAGGACUAUGAGUAAAAAGUGAAUCUAG